Molecule: ribosomal RNA, 262 nt
Filed under: uncultured bacterium
Lineage: Bacteria
Description: partial 16S ribosomal RNA
Rfam family: Bacterial small subunit ribosomal RNA
Source: RNAcentral
UACGGAGGGAGCUAGCGUUUGUUCGGAAUUACUGGGCGUAAAGCGCGCGUAGGCGGCUUUGUAAGUUAGAGGUGAAAAGCCCGGGGCUCAACCCCGGAAUUGACCUUUAAGACUGCAUCGCUCGAAUCCAGGAGAGGUGAGUGGAAUUCCGAGUUGUAGAGGUGAAAUUCGAUAGAUAUUCGGAAGAACACCAAGUGGCGAAGGCGGCUACACGUGGAGCUGGUAUUGACGCUGAGGUGCGAAAGCGUGGGGAGCAAAGCAG